CAGGCUGCAACUCGCCUGCACGAAGUCGGAAUUGCUAGUAAUCGUAGGUCAGCAUACUACGGUGAAUACGUUCCCGGGCCUUGUACACACCGCCCGUCAAACCAUGAGAGUUGGCAACACCCGAAGUCGGUAGUCUAACCGCAAGGAGGACGCCGCCGAAGGUGGGGUUGAUGAUUAGGGUUAAGUCGUAACAAGGUACC
RNAcentral lists this ribosomal RNA (200 nucleotides) under uncultured bacterium. RNAcentral describes it as "partial 16S ribosomal RNA". It matches the Rfam family "Bacterial small subunit ribosomal RNA", at positions 1301 to 1500 of the family's 1533-position model. The record is from RNAcentral.